Molecule: long non-coding RNA, 489 nt
Filed under: Homo sapiens (human)
Lineage: Eukaryota; Metazoa; Chordata; Mammalia; Primates; Hominidae
Description: non-protein coding lnc-ZDHHC11-2:3
Source: RNAcentral
CUGCCUGUGUGUCUCCCGGCAGGUUCUUCUUCAGCACUGUGGCCUCGGCCACAGCUGGCAUGCUCUGCCUGAUCGCCAUCCUGCUGUAUGUCCUCGUCCAGUACCUCGUGAACCCCGGGGUGCUCCGCACGGACCCCAGGUAUGAAGGAUGGCCCCGAGGCCACCAGUUCCAGAGAGGGUCUGUCACCGAAAGACAUCCAUGCUGAGUCACCCAAAGACAUCCAUGCUGAAUCCAUCCCUCUGCCAUUCUGCCUUGCCCCACCCUCUGCCAUUCUGCCUUGCCUGGCCCUCUGCCAUUCUGCAUUACGCCUGAUUUUUGGAAGUGUGGUUUUGAGUGUUGGCAGCCCAGUGUCACAGAGGACCAUAUCUUAGAAAUGACCCCAGGCGAGAGCUGUGGCUUUCCUGUUCUAUUUGAAGGCAGCUGUUUUAGGGUGCAGCGGGUCCAGGGACACAGAGUGGGCCAUGAGCAAGGGAUGGGUGCUGGGGCCU